RNAcentral lists this long non-coding RNA (437 nucleotides) under Citrus sinensis (sweet orange). RNAcentral's name for it is "long non-coding RNA (CSIN_LNC001244)". The record is from RNAcentral. Lineage: Eukaryota; Viridiplantae; Streptophyta; Magnoliopsida; Sapindales; Rutaceae.
AGCCUAAAAAAAUUUUGGAUUUAGAUUUGGGAAUUUUUUCGGGUCCCCUAACCCGACCCAAAAAUAAAAACUAAAAAAAUAUAAUUCCUUAAUUCAUUUGGAUUGAAUCAAUCGUUCCCCCAAAAGAAACCCUAACGGCUCGUCAGCCGCCGCUGCCGUCGCUAACAGCCUAACAGCUCGUCAGCCGCCGCCGCCGUCGCUAACAGCUGGUCAGUCGCCACCGUUCGUCGUCACCGACCAACACCAGCCGCGCUAUCGGUUCUCCUGCUGCAAGGUUUUUGCUUUUCCUAUUUUUCUUUCUUUAUUUAUUUAUUUCAAAUUGCAUCUGGUUUCAUUGAUUUGAGUCAAUUUUACGUUUUGUGUGUUUUCAUUCAUCUUCUUCUGAUUUCAUUCUCAGUCACAUAGCCUGAAGCACAAACUGCAGCCAUGGAGAGCUC